CCUACGGGUGGCUGCAGUGGGGAAUAUUGGACAAUGGGCGAAAGCCUGAUCCAGCCAUGCCGCGUGUGUGAAGAAGGCCUUCGGGUUGUAAAGCACUUUCAGUGGGGAAGAAAGCCUUGGGGCUAAUACCCUCGAGGAAGGACAUUACCCACAGAAGAAGCACCGGCUAACUCCGUGCCAGCAGCCGCGGUAAUACGGAGGGUGCGAGCGUUAAUCGGAAUUACUGGGCGUAAAGCGCGCGUAGGCGGUCUGAUAAGCCGGUUGUGAAAGCCCCGGGCUCAACCUGGGAACGGCAUCCGGAACUGUCAGGCUAGAGUGCAGGAGAGGAAGGUAGAAUUCCCGGUGUAGCGGUGAAAUGCGUAGAGAUCGGGAGGAAUACCAGUGGCGAAGGCGGCCUUCUGGACUGACACUGACGCUGAGGUGCGAAAGCGUGGGUAGCAAACAGGAUUAGAUACCCCUGUAGUC
RNAcentral lists this ribosomal RNA (465 nucleotides) under Vreelandella stevensii. RNAcentral describes it as "partial 16S ribosomal RNA". It matches the Rfam family "Bacterial small subunit ribosomal RNA", at positions 338 to 795 of the family's 1533-position model. Lineage: Bacteria; Pseudomonadati; Pseudomonadota; Gammaproteobacteria; Oceanospirillales; Halomonadaceae. The record is from RNAcentral.